GAGUAAAAGUUUGUUAAAGUACUGACUAAAUAAGAUAAACUGAUAAGAUUAUAUUUUAUAGAUAAUUGUUGUAAUUAUCAAUCUUAACGUCAGUAUUUGUUAACGGAGCAAGGAUAAUUGGCAUAUAUUUGAUUGACACAUAUACUUAUUUAAGAACCAGACCAAGUGUUAAUCGCCAUUGUAAGAAAACUAUAAAUCAACACAAAUAUUAAAGCGAACGCACAUGGAAACAUGUUAAUAUGUUUCUCUAUUGAAAGAAAACGGUUGGUUUGUUUCAUAACAAAACACAGUAAUUGUUUCUCUUUGUAUGAAAAUAAAAUAAAAAAGAUAUAAUUAUAGGAGUGUCUCAAUGAUAAGGAGUGAUUAAGUAUAAAAAUAGAUUAGCACGAUAUUUGAAAUAUGCGCCUUGUUGCUAAAUAGUGGAGUUAAUUCGUGUAUAUAAAAAGCAAGACAUAAAGGCAAGACGCAAUAACAGAAGCUAUUUUUGCAUGGUAUAUCACUCGGAUAAACCUCUCCUUGUAAGAAUCUUGUGUAAAGAAGAAGUUUGGUGACAGUUAUUUAUUUGAUUGUGAAGCUAAUAUCAAUUUGGAAAAGAAAACCUCCAAAACAACAUUACAAUUAUAUAGAAAUUAAUAUAGAUUUUCAAUUAAAAGUACUAAUUGUUUGAAAACGCCGCGUGCAGCUUCAUUUGAUUACACGUUUCGAAUCAACAAAUGGAAACGAUGUUCUCUGUAAAGUGGAUUAUGCAAAUAUACUAUCUUCUGUUGAUAGUUGGUCUCAUGCUGAACAUCUAUGUUCAAGUGGCAAAUGCAGCAUGCCACCAGACGACUACGCCAGCGCCCACAACACCACCAGCGCCAUAGCCCUGACCAGAUAUUCUGUCAUUAACUCGUGAAAUUCCGGUAAAGUUCGCCACAUUCCGUUCCUAAUUCUAAUGUGUCGAUACGGAUACGAAAUGUAUACUCGCACCUAUGCUGAACAAAUUUGUACGGAAGAUGACGAAAUUUGCCGAAUUUAUACGAUAUAUUGAUGAAUAAUGUAUAAACACAAUGCAUGUGUGAAUCUACUAGUCCACGUUACUAUGAUGUCUAAGCUUUUAACUGUUAAUUAAUUUUCUGUCAGAUUAAAUAAUGUAAAACUGU
This is a long non-coding RNA of Ruditapes philippinarum (Manila clam), 1142 nucleotides long. RefSeq lists it as uncharacterized. The transcript has 3 exons. The record is from RefSeq and is a predicted model, not a curated record. Lineage: Eukaryota; Metazoa; Mollusca; Bivalvia; Venerida; Veneridae.